CCUACGGGAGGCAGCAGUGAGGAAUAUUGCUCAAUGGGCGCGAGCCUGAACCAGCCAAGUAGCGUGAAGGAUGACUGCCCUACGGGUUGUAAAUUUCUUUUAUAAAGGAAUAAAGUGAGGCACGUGUGCCUUUUUGUAUGUACUUUAUGAAUAAGGAUCGGCUAACUCCGCGCCAGCAGCCGCGGUAAUACGGAGGAUGCGCGCGUUAUCCGGAUUUAUUGGGUUUAAAGGGAGCGUAGAUGGGUUGUUAAGUCAGUUGUGAAAGUUUGCGGCUCAACCGUAAAAUUGCAAUUGAUACUGGCAGUCUUGAGUACAGUUGAGGUAGGCGGAAUUCGUGGUGUAGCGGUGAAAUGCUUAGAUAUCACGAAGAACUCCGAUUGCGAAGGCAGCUUACUAAACUGCCACUGACAUUGAUGCUCGAAAGUGUGGGUAUCAAACAGGAUUAGAUACCCUUGUAGUC
This 460-nucleotide ribosomal RNA is filed under the name uncultured bacterium. Its description in RNAcentral is "partial 16S ribosomal RNA". It matches the Rfam family "Bacterial small subunit ribosomal RNA", at positions 338 to 795 of the family's 1533-position model. The record is from RNAcentral.